RNAcentral lists this ribosomal RNA (471 nucleotides) under Brycon orbignyanus. RNAcentral's name for it is "partial 16S large subunit ribosomal RNA". It matches the Rfam family "Bacterial large subunit ribosomal RNA", at positions 1927 to 2555 of the family's 2925-position model. The record is from RNAcentral. Lineage: Eukaryota; Metazoa; Chordata; Actinopteri; Characiformes; Bryconidae.
ACGGCCGCGGUAUCUUGACCGUGCUAAGGUAGCGAAAUCACUUGUCCUUUAAAUGAGGACCUGUAUGAAUGGUGGAACGAGGGCUUAACUGUCUCCUUUUUCAGGUCAGUGAAAUUGAUCUGCCCGUGCAGAAGCGGACAUAAAUAUACAAGACGAGAAGACCCUUUGGAGCUUAAGACAUACAGUCAACUGUGUCAAACAUUUUACUUAAAAAACUUAAACAAAACAAUAACUGACCCUACGUCUUCGGUUGGGGCGACCGCGGGGGAAAACAAAGCCCCCACGUAGAAUGGGACAUUCCCUAAAACUAAGAGAGACAUCUCUAAGUCACAGAACCUCUGACUAAAAGAUCCGGCAUACGCCGAUCAACGAACCAAGUUACCCUAGGGAUAACAGCGCAAUCCCCUCCAAGAGCCCGUAUCAACAAGGGGGUUUACGACCUCGAUGUUGGAUCAGGACAUCCUAAUGGUG